This 218-nucleotide ribosomal RNA is filed under the name bacterium enrichment culture clone ALO1_GLFRUDD03F8MHV. RNAcentral describes it as "partial 16S ribosomal RNA". It matches the Rfam family "Bacterial small subunit ribosomal RNA", at positions 9 to 224 of the family's 1533-position model. The record is from RNAcentral.
GAGUUUGAUCUUGGCUCAGAUUGAACGCUGGCGGCAUGCCUUACACAUGCAAGUCGAACGGCAGCACGGGAGCUUGCUCCUGGUGGCGAGUGGCGAACGGGUGAGUAAUGCAUCGGAACGUAUCCUGGAGUGGGGGAGUAACGUAGCGAAGUUAACGCUAAUACCGCAUAUUCUGUGAGCAGGAAAGCGGGGGACCGUUCGGGCCGUCGCGCUCUUGG